AUUGAACGCUGGCGGCAGGCCUAACACAUGCAAGUCGAACGAGUGGCGGACGGGUGAGUAAUGUCUGGGAAACUGCCUGAUGGAGGGGGAUAACUACUGGAAACGGUAGCUAAUACCGCAUACCAUCAGAAGUGCCUAUAUGGGAUUAGCUUGUUGGUGGGGUAACGGGUCACCAAGGCGACGAUCCCGAGCUGGUCUGAGAGGAUGACCAGACACACGGGGACUGAGACACGGUCCAGACGCCGACGGGAGGCAGCAGUGGGGAAUAUUGGACAAUGGGCGCAAGCCUGAUGCAGCCAUGCCGCGUGUAUGAAGAAGGCCUUCGGGUUGUAAAGUACUUUCAGCAGGGAGGCGUUACCCGCAGAAGAAGCACCGGCUAACUCCGUGCCAGCAGCCGCGGUAAUAC
This 406-nucleotide ribosomal RNA is filed under the name uncultured bacterium. RNAcentral's name for it is "partial 16S ribosomal RNA". It matches the Rfam family "Bacterial small subunit ribosomal RNA", at positions 30 to 526 of the family's 1533-position model. The record is from RNAcentral.